Gorilla gorilla gorilla (western lowland gorilla) is the source of this 4088-nucleotide long non-coding RNA. RefSeq lists it as uncharacterized. The record is from RefSeq and is a predicted model, not a curated record. The transcript is spliced from 2 exons. NCBI's taxonomy places the organism in Eukaryota, Metazoa, Chordata, Mammalia, Primates, Hominidae.
AGCUGCAUGUAUCUUGUGGCUCUUAUGAGCGAAAUGGUGUCAGUAAAAGUCUUACCUUAUGGAAAGACUCAGAUGUGUGUGGACCUGGUUAUGUCUGACUUUGCGCAGCUCACAACAUCCACACUUGCUCUAUGUAUUUUUAUUCUUCUGGGAUCAGUGGGCAAGUGAGGCAUGUUCAUCUUAAAUGGGAUCAGAGUAUGCCACACCAAAAAAUGCACCUUGACAUAAGGAUGAUUAAGACUCAGUAGUUGCAAAAGAAUUCUUACUCUCCCCUUUUCUGCCGAAAAGUAGGAUAUAAAUAUCUUGUGAAGGUAACGUCCUCUUUCGUACCAAGAGGAGAAGAGAGACUCUUAUCAUCAGAGAUAGCACCUAAAUGAGUCUGCAUAAACAAACUUUGCUAAAAUAACUCGUCUUCAUUACCUUUGCCAUAUAUUUCCUAGUCACUUUUUUCCCCCAUGAUUCAUCGUUUCUCAAAGCUCAAAGCCCCUUUCCUUUGUUAAAAUGGUAUAUAAGGCCCUGAGUCUAACCACUUCAGUUUUACUUUUUUUCUGUAAACUCGUGUGCACACAAACAUUAAUAAAAAUUGUAUGCCUUUUCUCCCAUUCCCCUGUCUUUUGUUACUUUAAUUCGCAGACCCCCAGGAACAAAAUAUCACAGAGUAGUGUAAGAGUUUGUCCUCUCCAGCAAUCUCAUGGCAAAAAGGCUCGAAAGCACAACUGUGCAAACACAUUUGAAGACGUCCAUCAUGUCACUUCCACUGAGAUCCCACUGGCGAAAGCAAGUCACAUGGAGACAGAUUUUCACUCUUGUUGCCUAGGCUGAAGGGCAGUGGCACGAUCUCGGCUCACCGCAAUCUACGCCUCCCGGGUUCAAGCGAUUCUGUUGCCUCAGCCUCCCAAGUAGCUGGAAUUACAGGCGUGUGCCACCACGCUAGGCUAAUUUUGUAUUUUUAGUAGAGACGGGGUUUCUUCAUGUUGGUCAGGCUGGUCUCAAACUCCCGACGUCAGGUGAUCUGCCUGCCUCGGCCUCCCAAAGUGCUGGGAUUACAGGCGUGAGCCACCACGCCCAGCCUAAUAAUAAUACUUACUACCCAAGAGCUAUUAACCUCCUGAUCCAAUAAUCUUAUAUGACUAGCGUGUAUCAUGGCUUGUAUAGUAAAAAUACCUCUAUAUGGACUUCACCUAAGACUCCUCAAAGCUCAUAUAGAAGCUCAAUAGUUCUUGCAACAGUACUCCUAAAGCUAGGCAGUUACGGUAUGAUACAGCUUACUCUUAUCCUCACCCCCCUAACAGAAUAUAUAGCCUAUCUGUUCCUCAUCUUGUCCCUAUGAGGAAUAGCUCUGUUUGUCUACGAUAAACUGAUCUAAAAUCAUGUAUUGGCUACUCCUCCGUAAGCCACGUAGCACUUGUUAUUAUGCCUAUCCUCAUCCAGACCCUUGAAGCUUUAUAGGUGCAAUCACCCUUAAAAUUGCUCACACAUUCACUUCAUCCUUACUAUUCUGCCUAGCAAAUUCAAACUAUGAGCGAGUCCAUAGAUGAACCAUAUUACUUACCCGAGGCCUUCAAACACUGCUCCCACUAAUAGCCUCUUCUAGCAAAUCUUACUAACCUUGCCUUACUCCCUACCAUUAAUCUAGCAGGAGAACUCUUUGUGACUAUGGCCUCAUUCUCCUGAUCAAAUGUCACUAUUAUGCUUAUAGGACUUAAUAUACUAAUUACAGCCCUUUCCUCCCUGUAUAUGCUAAUCAAGACACAACGAGGGACACUUGCAUAUUAUAUUAACAGUAUUAAACCCUCCUUUACAUGAGAAAAUACAUUAAUACUUACACAUCUUGAGCCUAUCUUCCUAUCAUCCUUAAACCCUAAAAUUAUUAUAGGGUUUGCAUGCUGUAGCUAUAGUUUAACCAAAACAUUAGAUUGUGGAUCUAACAAUAGAAGCCUGCAACUUCUUACCUAUCAAGAAAGUAUGCAAGAACUGACAGCUCAUGCCCCCAUGCCUGAUAACAUGGUUUUCUCAACUUUUAAAGGAUUAGAGUCGUCCGUUGGUCUUAGGGACUUAUCACUUACUAUGUACAAGGAUCAUGCAUUCAUAAGAUUGUUUAACCUUUAUCUUAGUUAAUCUUCUAGCUACUAUAAUUAUCCCCAUCUUGCAGCUGAGGAAAAUGAGGCUUAAAGAGAUUACGUGACUUGCCCAGGGUCACAGUGCUUACAAAUGGUAGAACUGAAAGUAAACCCUGGCAAAAACAUCUUUGCUUCUUAGCAUUCUAUGCUAAAUUCCUUCUCUGUUCAUUUUAUUUUUUUGAGACAGAGUCUCGCUCUGUCGCCCAGGCUGGAGUGCAGUGGCCCAGUCUUUGCUUACUUCAACCUCCACCUCCCGGGUUCAAGUGAUUCUCCUGCCUCAGCCUCCCAAGUAGCUGGGACUACAGGCAUCUGCCACCACGCCCAGCAAUUUUUUGUAUUUUUAGUAGAGAUGGAGUUUCAUCAUGUUGGCCAGGCUGGUCUCAAACUCCUGACCUCAGGUAAUCCACUUGCCUCAGCCUUCCAAAGUGCAGGGAUUACGGGCGUGAGCCACUGUGCCCUGCACAAUCAUUGGUUUUUAUAAAACAAAAUAUUAUAGCCACAAAAAAUAUCCCAUAACCAUUCUUCCCUACUCCUAUCGUGGUAGAAAAAAACCUAGUUCUUGUCACACAGCCAGGAAAAGGUUCAUCCUCCCUCUAUGCCCAGAGGUAACCAUGACUUGAAUUUAGUGGGGUUUUUUUUUAUUUUUAAUUUUUGUGCUACAUAGUAGGUGUAUAUAUUUAUGGAUUACAUGAGUUUUGUUUUUGUUUUUGUUUGUUUUUCAAGACAGGGUCUCACUCUGUCAUCCAGGCUGGAGAGCAGUGGUGUGAUCUCGGCUCACUGCAACCUCUGACUCCUGGAUUCAAGUGAUCCUCUCACCUCAGCCUCCCAAGUAGCUGGGACUACAGGCAUGCACUACCAUGCCCGGCUAAUUUUUCUAUUUUUAAUAGUGACAUGGUUUCACCAUGUUGGCCAGGCUGGUCUCGAACUCCUGGGCUCAAGAGAUCCAUCUGCCUUGGCCUCCAAAGGUUCUGGGGUUACAGGCAUGAGCCACCGCACCUGGCCUUUUUUUGAAUUUAGUGUUUCUAAUUCCAUUGUACUUGUCAUACUCUUACUACGUAUGUAGAUUAGCACAAACAUUACAUAGAACUAUUUGAAUGUUUUAAAAUUUUAUUUAAGUAAUAUUCUUUAAACCAUUUGCUUUUCAACUCCAGCUUACGUGUUUACACUUUGUUCUCACUGAUACAUAUAGGAAUCUUGGAAUAGGAAUAUUGCUAUAUGAUGUUCAAUUUUGUAAUAACAUUAUUUAUUCAUUUUCUGUUGAUUUUUGUUAAUACAAAUAAUACGUCAAUGGAUAUUUUGUACGUGUCUUUUAAAGCAAAUGUUCUAGAAGUUUUCUAGAUUAUGUACCCAAAAGUGCAAUUACUGUGUCAAAGGGCAUGCAUAUUUUCUACUUUAUUGCCAUGUAGUUCUCCAAUGUGGUAAUACCAAUUUACAUUCCUGCCAGCAAGCUAUGAGUGUUCUCUAUAUUCUAUAUCCUCACCAAUACUUGAAUGUGUCAGAAUUUAAAACAUUUUCCAAUCAACUGUAGUAAAAUGAUAGCUCAUUUUAAUAUAUAUUUUCCUGAUCACUAUAAUAAGCCUUUCUUAUUAUGUUAAUUGGCCAUUUACAUUUCUUCUUCUGUGAGUGUUUUGAUCCUGUUUUCUGUUCAUUUUCAUAUUGGAUUUUUUUUUCUUACUGAUUUGGAACUCUGGAUACGAAUCUUUUCUCAGUUACAUGUAUUGAAAAUAUAUUCUCCUACUGUCUUUUAACCUUUUAUGAUACCUUUUAUUAUAUCAAAAAUUUUAACUUCAAUGUAGCAAAUGUGUUCAAUUUUAAUACAUUGCUCUUUCUUUUGAAAGAUAAUGCAUACAGCACAUAGCUUAAAAUUCAAGAGGUACAAAAGAGCAUAUAGUAAAAAGUCUAUUCUCUGCCUCUUCAAAUCACCCAAUUCCCUUUAGUAUCCUCCCAGAAUUAUGCACAUAAAAGCAA